RNAcentral lists this ribosomal RNA (243 nucleotides) under uncultured bacterium. Its description in RNAcentral is "partial 16S ribosomal RNA". It matches the Rfam family "Bacterial small subunit ribosomal RNA", at positions 15 to 244 of the family's 1533-position model. The record is from RNAcentral.
GAUCAUGGCUCAGGAUGAACGCUAGCUACAGGCUUAACACAUGCAAGUCGAGGGGAAACGAUAGAGAAAGCUUGCUUUUUCUAGGCGUCGACCGGCGCACGGGUGAGUAACGCGUAUCCAACCUGCCCACCACUUGGGGGAUAACCCUUGCGAAAGUAAGACUAAUACCCAAUGAUAUCUCUAGAAGACAUCUGAAAGGGAUUAAAGAUUUUAUCGGUGAUGGAUGGGAAUGCGUCUGAUUAG